UAUUGGUAAUGUGCGAAAGCGCGAACCAGCAACGCCGCGUGCACGAUGAAGGCCUUCGGGUUGUAAAGUGCUUUUAGAGAGGAUGAGGAAGGACAGUACUUUCUGAAUAAGCCUCGGCUAACUACGUGCCAGCAGCCGCGGUAAAACGUAGGAGGCUAGCGUUAUCCGGAUUUACUGGGCGUAAAGCGCGUGCAGGUGGUUUCGUAAGUUGGAUGUGAAAGCUCCUGGCUUAACUGGGAGAGGUCGUUCAAAACUGCGAGGCUUGAGAGUGGUAGAGGGAGGUGGAAUUCCGGGUGUAGUGGUGAAAUGCGUAGAUAUCCGGAGGAACACCAGUGGAGAAAGCGGCCUCCUGGACCAUUUCUGACACUCAGACGCGAAAGCUAAGGUAGCAAACG
Molecule: ribosomal RNA, 395 nt
Filed under: uncultured bacterium
Lineage: Bacteria
Description: bacterial SSU rRNA
Rfam family: Bacterial small subunit ribosomal RNA
Source: RNAcentral